UACGAAGGGGGCUAGCGUUGCUCGGAUUGACUGGGCGUAAAGGGCGCGUAGGCGGUUUGUACAGUCAGACGUGAAAUUCCUGGGCUCAACCUGGGGGCUGCGUUUGAUACGUAUGGACUUGAGUUCGGAAGAGGGUCGUGGAAUUCCCAGUGUAGAGGUGAAAUUCGUAGAUAUUGGGAAGAACACCGGUGGCGAAGGCGGCGACCUGGUCCGAUACUGACGCUGAGGAGCGAAAGCGUGGGGAGCGAACAGG
Molecule: ribosomal RNA, 253 nt
Filed under: uncultured bacterium
Lineage: Bacteria
Description: partial 16S ribosomal RNA
Rfam family: Bacterial small subunit ribosomal RNA
Source: RNAcentral